Molecule: long non-coding RNA, 333 nt
Filed under: Citrus sinensis (sweet orange)
Lineage: Eukaryota; Viridiplantae; Streptophyta; Magnoliopsida; Sapindales; Rutaceae
Description: long non-coding RNA (CSIN_LNC003614)
Source: RNAcentral
GAGAGUUCAAAUGCUGCAGCUGUUGAUAGUGAAAAAUUGGGUAAUGAGGAGAAUAUUGGUUCUGGGGAAUCAAAGAAGGGCUUGGGUGAAUUGAGGAUUUCGGAGAGGGUGGUAGUUGAGAGUGAAGGUUCAAGUGGUGACUCACCGCCUGUUAGCAGUGGAAGUCCUCAGCCGCCUCCUCCACCUGUUCCACCUCCAAAACCUUUGGCAGCAAACUCAAGUUCAAGGAGAUCAGUCUCAGGAAGUCCAAAUGCUGCAAGGAGUGGGUCCUCUAGAAGAGCGGUUGCCUGGCCUGUUGUUACCACGAGGACUUCACCAUCCGGGUCAAGGCCU